UUGGUCAUUUAGAGGAAGUAAAAGUCGUAACAAGGUCUCCGUUGGUGAACCAGCGGAGGGAUCAUUACCGAGUUUACAACUCCCAAACCCCUGUGAACAUACCACUUGUUGCCUCGGCGGAUCAGCCCGCUCCCGGUAAAACGGGACGGCCCGCCAGAGGACCCCUAAACUCUGUUUCUAUAUGUAACUUCUGAGUAAAACCACAAAUAAAUCAAAACUUUCAACAACGGAUCUCUUGGUUCUGGCAUCGAUGAAGAACGCAGCAAAAUGCGAUAAGUAAUGUGAAUUGCAGAAUUCAGUGAAUCAUCGAAUCUUUGAACGCACAUUGCGCCCGCCAGUAUUCUGGCGGGCAUGCCUGUUCGAGCGUCAUUUCAACCCUCAAGCACAGCUUGGUGUUGGGACUCGCGUUAAUUCGCGUUCCUCAAAUUGAUUGGCGGUCACGUCGAGCUUCCAUAGCGUAGUAGUAAAACCCUCGUUACUGGUAAUCGUCGCGGCCACGCCGUUAAACCCCAACUUCUGAAUGUUGACCUCGGAUCAGGUAGGAAUACCCGCUGAACUUAAGCAUAUCAAUAAGCGGAGGA
Molecule: ribosomal RNA, 581 nt
Filed under: uncultured fungus
Lineage: Eukaryota; Fungi
Description: eukaryotic LSU rRNA
Rfam family: 5.8S ribosomal RNA (bases 216-369)
Source: RNAcentral